RNAcentral lists this ribosomal RNA (521 nucleotides) under uncultured bacterium. RNAcentral describes it as "bacterial SSU rRNA". It matches the Rfam family "Bacterial small subunit ribosomal RNA", at positions 8 to 524 of the family's 1533-position model. The record is from RNAcentral.
AGAGUUUGAUCAUGGCUCAGGACGAACGCUGGCGGCGUGCCUAACACAUGCAAGUCGAGCGGGGAUAUAUGCUGGAGCGCUUCGGUGUGAAGGGAUAUAUCCUAGCGGCGGACGGGUGAGUAACGCGUGGGUAACCUACCCCAAAGUCCGGGAUAACAGCGGGAAACCGCUGCUAAUACCGGAUGCCUUUACCUUGGGGCAUCUUGAGGUAAAGAAAGGUAACGCUUUGGGAUGGGCCCGCGUCCCAUUAGCUAGUUGGUGAGGUAACGGCUCACCAAGGCGACGAUGGGUAGCCGGCCUGAGAGGGUGGACGGCCACACUGGGACUGAGACACGGCCCAGACUCCUACGGGAGGCAGCAGUAGGGAAUAUUGCGCAAUGGACGGAAGUCUGACGCAGCGACGCCGCGUGAGCGAUGAAGGUCUUCGGAUCGUAAAGCUCUGUCCUUGGGGAAGAAGGCGAAAGCUUGACGGUACCCAAGAAGAAAGCCCCGGCUAACUACGUGCCAGCAGCCGCGGUAAU